GACGGAAGUGUGGCCGGUUUGCCCCACUUUGCCCUGCGAGAGCUCCCUUCUCGCGUCUCCACCACCCUUCUCUGAUGAGGGAGUCAGGCAUAGUCCAGGCAGAGGCAAGCGGAGCCAGUAGCUUCGGGAAACUCCCGCGGCGCUUCGAACCCUCCGGACGCUUGAAGGACGAGCGAGGCGCCCUUGCCAACCCUUACAGGGACACCUAGCCGUAACGUGCAGAGUGAGACUGAAGAAGAGAGGAUCAAGACCAGGGGGGUGAAGAGAGCACUAGGGCUUGGCCGGAAGAGAGGUUAAAGAGGAAAGGCCUCACUGGAGAAAGAGAGAGUUAAACCACAACAGGCAGUACCUAGUUCCAGUUCUUGGUCCCAGGGGUUUGUGGUUGCUGCUUUCAUCUUGCUCAGCCAAAACAAAAGGAAAGUGUCAAAUGGCGAUUCUUUAGGACUUCCAGUGCAGUCUCCACCUCACAGAUUUGGCUCAUUUGUGUCCACUCCUUUCCCUAACCCUUUAUACUUGAUGCUGUCAGAUGAGUAGAAAGGAGCACAAUUAGUGGAAAACACAGCUUGGGAGUCAAGGGAUUUGGGUUCUAUUCUUGUCCCUUGGUGACGACAUCAUUACUUUGGGUUAUUCACACUUUCAGUGCCAGAAUUCCUAGAUCGAUAAAAGAUUAUUAUAUUGACCUCUUAUAGAAAUGUUUUGACGGUACUGAAUUCCUAAUAAAGUUGUGUAACAAUGA
Long non-coding RNA from Ictidomys tridecemlineatus (thirteen-lined ground squirrel), 736 nucleotides. RefSeq lists it as uncharacterized. Lineage: Eukaryota; Metazoa; Chordata; Mammalia; Rodentia; Sciuridae. The record is from RefSeq and is a predicted model, not a curated record.